RNAcentral lists this unclassified non-coding RNA (303 nucleotides) under Hevea brasiliensis (rubber tree). Lineage: Eukaryota; Viridiplantae; Streptophyta; Magnoliopsida; Malpighiales; Euphorbiaceae. The record is from RNAcentral.
AUAAUAUAAAGGACAAUACAAAGGAUAUUUUUUAUAUAAUGAAUGCACAAUGUACGGAUUAUAAUUAAUGAGUUACACAGUGAAAAGAAGCUCUUUCCUUUUGAUAGUAAAUAAUCAUAAAAAAGGUAAAUAGGAUGACUGUGUGUGUGUUCACAAAAAAAGGUCAAAAAAGGAGGGAGGUAAAAAAGGUGUGUGUGUGUGAAAGGAGUGUGUGUGUGUGUUCAUAAAAAAGGUAAAAAAGGAGGGAGGUAAAAAAGGUGUGUGUGUGUGAAAGGAGUGUGUGUGUGUGUUCAUAAAAAAGGU